This 1437-nucleotide ribosomal RNA is filed under the name uncultured organism. Its description in RNAcentral is "SSU rRNA". It matches the Rfam family "Bacterial small subunit ribosomal RNA". The record is from RNAcentral.
CUCAGGAUGAACGCUAGCUACAGGCUUAACACAUGCAAGUCGAGGGGCAGCAUGGUCUUAGCUUGCUAAGGCCGAUGGCGACCGGCGCACGGGUGAGUAACACGUAUCCAACCUGCCGUCUACUCUUGGACAGCCUUCUGAAAGGAAGAUUAAUACAAGAUGGCAUCAUGAGUCCACAUGUUCACAUGAUUAAAGGUAUUCCGGUAGACGAUGGGGAUGCGUUCCAUUAGAUAGUAGGCGGGGUAACGGCCCACCUAGUCUUCGAUGGAUAGGGGUUCUGAGAGGAAGGUCCCCCACAUUGGAACUGAGACACGGUCCAAACUCCUACGGGAGGCAGCAGUGAGGAAUAUUGGUCAAUGGGCGAGAGCCUGAACCAGCCAAGUAGCGUGAAGGAUGACUGCCCUAUGGGUUGUAAACUUCUUUUAUAAAGGAAUAAAGUCGGGUAUGCAUACCCGUUUGCAUGUACUUUAUGAAUAAGGAUCGGCUAACUCCGUGCCAGCAGCCGCGGUAAUACGGAGGAUCCGAGCGUUAUCCGGAUUUAUUGGGUUUAAAGGGAGCGUAGAUGGAUGUUUAAGUCAGUUGUGAAAGUUUGCGGCUCAACCGUAAAAUUGCAGUUGAUACUGGAUAUCUUGAGUGCAGUUGAGGCAGGCGGAAUUCGUGGUGUAGCGGUGAAAUGCUUAGAUAUCACGAAGAACUCCGAUUGCGAAGGCAGCCUGCUAAGCUGCAACUGACAUUGAGGCUCGAAAGUGUGGGUAUCAAACAGGAUUAGAUACCCUGGUAGUCCACACGGUAAACGAUGAAUACUCGCUGUUUGCGAUAUACAGCAAGCGGCCAAGCGAAAGCGUUAAGUAUUCCACCUGGGGAGUACGCCGGCAACGGUGAAACUCAAAGGAAUUGACGGGGGCCCGCACAAGCGGAGGAACAUGUGGUUUAAUUCGAUGAUACGCGAGGAACCUUACCCGGGCUUAAAUUGCAGAUGAAUUACGGUGAAAGCCGUAAGCCGCAAGGCAUCUGUGAAGGUGCUGCAUGGUUGUCGUCAGCUCGUGCCGUGAGGUGUCGGCUUAAGUGCCAUAACGAGCGCAACCCUUGUUGUCAGUUACUAACAGGUCAUGCUGAGGACUCUGACAAGACUGCCAUCGUAAGAUGUGAGGAAGGUGGGGAUGACGUCAAAUCAGCACGGCCCUUACGUCCGGGGCUACACACGUGUUACAAUGGGGGGUACAGAGGGCCGCUACCACGCGAGUGGAUGCCAAUCCCAAAAACCUCUCUCAGUUCGGACUGGAGUCUGCAACCCGACUCCACGAAGCUGGAUUCGCUAGUAAUCGCGCAUCAGCCACGGCGCGGUGAAUACGUUCCCGGGCCUUGUACACACCGCCCGUCAAGCCAUGGGAGCCGGGGGUACCUGAAGUGCGUAACCGCGAGGAGCGCCCUAGGGUA